GUAAAGCGUGCGCAGGCGGUUGUGCAAGACAGAUGUGAAAUCCCCGAGCUUAACUUGGGAAUUGCAUUGGUGACUGCACGGCUAGAGUGUGUCAGAGGGGGGUAGAAUUCCACGUGUAGCAGUGAAAUGCGUAGAGAUGUGGAGGAAUACCGAUGGCGAAGGCAGCCCCCUGGGAUAACACUGACGCUCAUGCACGAAAGCGUGGGGAGCAAACAGGAUUAGAUACCCUGGUAGUCCACGCCCUAAACGAUGUCAACUAGUUGUUGGGGAUUCAUUUCCUUAGUAACGUAGCUAACGCGUGAAGUUGACCGCCUGGGGAGUACGGUCGCAAGAUUAAAACUCAAAGGAAUUGACGGGGACCCGCACAAGCGGUGGAUGAUGUGGAUUAAUUCGAUGCAACGCGAAAAACCUUACCUACCCUUGACAUGCCACUAACGAAGCAGAGAUGCAUUAGGUGCUCGAAAGAGAAAGUGGACACAGGUGCUGCAUGGCCGUCGUCAGCUCGUGUCGUGAGAUGUUGAGUUAAGUCCCGCAACGAGCGCAACCCUUGUCUCUAGUUGCUACGAAAGGGCACUCUAGAGAGACUGCCGGUGACAAACCGGAGGAAGGUGGGGAUGACGUCAAGUCCUCAUGGCCCUUAUGGGUAGGGCUUCACACGUCAUACAAUGGUGCAUACAGAGGGUUGCCAAGCCGCGAGGUGGAGCUAAUCCCAGAAAAUGCAUCGUAGUCCGGAUCGUAGUCUGCAACUCGACUACGUGAAGCUGGAAUCG
RNAcentral lists this ribosomal RNA (770 nucleotides) under uncultured Ralstonia sp. RNAcentral describes it as "bacterial SSU rRNA". It matches the Rfam family "Bacterial small subunit ribosomal RNA", at positions 560 to 1334 of the family's 1533-position model. The record is from RNAcentral. Lineage: Bacteria; Pseudomonadati; Pseudomonadota; Betaproteobacteria; Burkholderiales; Burkholderiaceae.